Stylophora pistillata is the source of this 960-nucleotide long non-coding RNA. Lineage: Eukaryota; Metazoa; Cnidaria; Anthozoa; Scleractinia; Pocilloporidae. The record is from RefSeq and is a predicted model, not a curated record.
AGAAGAGGCUCCCACUUUCCUUAAAGGCCAUCCUCUUAAUUCAACUGCGAUUUUAAUCAACUGGAAAAAUAUACCUCCUUCUCGACAUAAAGGGCAAAUGUUGGCUUAUAGGAUUCAAUACCGGAGCUUCGGGUCCGAGCUCUAUAAAGAAGCAAAUACGACUACCAACUUGGCUCAGGAUGUUAUUACAGAUCUCCAUCCAAACACCAUCCAAAUGAAAUUGGCCACGGGCGAACUAGCAAGGUCCUUGUCAUAAGAACCCUUUCUUUCGGUUCAGAAAUAUUUGAGGUUGACUUUCAGCUGAUAAUCGACUCUGAUUUUACCAGCGAUCUACUCAACAGUAGCAGUAAAAGGUUCUUGGAGAUGGCCGAAGUCAUUAAAGUUUCAAUAAAACACCAUUUCAAUAAAUCUUCUUUUUUGAAGAUAUAUGACGUCAUAACUAUACUUUUCAGGUAAGCUAGAGUGACCAUUUUUACCCUCGUUUAAACCCUUGUUUAACUUGGCUAAUUUUCGGUUUCUAGACACUGCCACUUUCAAAAUGAGGCCAAGUCAAGAACAUGAUUUGUUUAAAAUCAAAUUCUUUGCAUAAGAAUAAAAUUUCAUUCCAUAUCUCAGACUGCGGUUUUGAUCGCCCACACAUCUUGAAACAGAAGCUGCGAGCACCUUGCAGUUUGCCAGCUCUCAUGAUCAAUAUUAACUUACUUAUCGCUAAUUAGUCCUUUUUUGAGUUUGGCUUGCCAUUCUCUUUAGAAAUGACAGCCUAAGGGCAGACAUUAAAGUCCUUGUAACAAUAAAUAUAAAAACAACGCACGAAGAUGAUGCUCUUAAUCAGUUAAUAGGAGGGGUGCGUUCAUCCUUUGGAGAUCGGCUUAAAGUUACUUCCAUACUUGUUCAGGGUAAGUAAGGCUUUGUCAAGAUCAUCUAAAUAAUUGGAAUAACUCAAAAUAUUGCCAGUUAUGU